GGCUUCCCAGGCCCUCCACAGCCACUGCCCAACGAGGACAGCCAGGGGAGACAGGCAGCCACACUCCUGUGCCCCCGGCCCGGGGAACAGGGGAGAGUGUGCUUGUGGGUUCACAUGCCCUCCAGGGAUUUACGCGUUCCACCGCUGAGGGACAGCUGACUUCCCCAGAUUUGGGCUGUUCGAAACGACCCUGAGGGGAGUUUCUCCCAUCGACACCCGCACCAGCAAUGCGAGCUCUUGUUGCUUCCCCUCCUCCCCGACACAUGGUAUUUUCAGGCUCAUUAAAUUAUUAAUCUUAAUGUUUCGUUGGAUGA
This 314-nucleotide long non-coding RNA is filed under the name Equus asinus (donkey). Its description in RNAcentral is "lncRNA (ENSEASG00005033943.1, ENSEASG00020018163.1)". Lineage: Eukaryota; Metazoa; Chordata; Mammalia; Perissodactyla; Equidae. The record is from RNAcentral.